This 759-nucleotide long non-coding RNA is filed under the name Felis catus (domestic cat). RNAcentral's name for it is "lncRNA (ENSFCAG00000040921.2)". The record is from RNAcentral. Lineage: Eukaryota; Metazoa; Chordata; Mammalia; Carnivora; Felidae.
CUCGGAACACCUAGAAUUACAAGUGACUAGGAGAGCUUAACUGAGCUCACAACCUCGUUCUCUUCUGUGAUCUAUAAAUAUAGAACUCUACUCACCAACUAUGUUCUCUUUUAUGUCGGCAUACCCCCAGCCCCUCAGGAUCUACGCUCAGAGGAAAAGAGAACUGGAGGCCAACUCAGCAGCCAGCCACUCAGACACUGUGAAGAUAAAAGAAAACAAAAAACAAAAACAGGACAAAUGAUCGGUCACCAAGAUCUACCAUGGGACUGCACUGCCUUGGGGACUAUUGACAAAUGCACAAUGUAAUGGAUAAAAUUCACUAAGAUGGAACACCAUCAUGCAUAAAUGCAGAAAAUGGGUAAUAGAUGUGCUGUGCCCUCAGGGUGCCUCCCACCCACAGACUUCAGAGGAUGCCUCCAACACUGAGCCACAGACAACAUGAAUGAAGGUACAGAUUACAGCUGUAACUUCAUUAAAAAGAUCUGGUGGUGUAGAAGCAAUAGAGAGAUGUGACCAGAAAGCACAGCAUGGCUUCAUGAUGAGGUGUUCUCGUCUCCUGGCUCUGGAUCCACAGCAGCAGCUGAGGUGCUACACAACCAUGUUCAAGCAGAUCACAGGUCCAUCUACAUGGGUUUUAGAAAAAUAUUUGAGGAAGAAACCAUAGUGACUCUGGAUGACAUGAAAAGUAAGCGAAGCCUGUGACCCAUGGGUCAAGUCAGUUGCCUGCUUCUGUAAAUAAAAUUUUGUUGAACACAGCCA